AUGAAACUCAUACGCUCCCCACCUGUUGAUUCUUGUUCAGAAUAUCAUCCUAAUGACUAUUCUAACCUCGAGGAGUCAAAGGCAGAUGGCCUGUCCUGUUCACCCAUCAAGACAUCAAAAAGAAAGAGGGUGAUUGCCGAACCCGAAGGAGCACCAGCAAAGUCCUUGAAAAAUGUGAUGGUGCCGGAGAAAUCAGACAGCGCCCCACUUAUAUUGGUUGUACAACCAGUGACACAAAACGUAGGACCAACUCCAGCAGACUGUACCCAUACUUCACUGGCCACACCACUAGCCCCACCACACAGGACCUGCAGUCCAGCAAAAGGGACUACAUGCAUAUAUGCCCAUCAUCGGAAGAUUAUAGUGAAGACAAACACCAUUUUCACAUCUUCCUGUCCAACUUACGUGCGAGGGUCAAUUUGGAUAGUCAUGAUGAGCAAAGCUUGCUUGUGCUUUUCAAGGAAGCAUUGCAGCAGUAUCGGUGUUACCUGA
Molecule: ribosomal RNA, 492 nt
Filed under: Triticum aestivum (bread wheat)
Lineage: Eukaryota; Viridiplantae; Streptophyta; Magnoliopsida; Poales; Poaceae
Description: partial small subunit ribosomal RNA
Source: RNAcentral